Molecule: ribosomal RNA, 274 nt
Filed under: uncultured bacterium
Lineage: Bacteria
Description: partial 16S ribosomal RNA
Rfam family: Bacterial small subunit ribosomal RNA
Source: RNAcentral
AUACGGAGGGUGCAAGCGUUAUCCGGAUUCAUUGGGUUUAAAGGGUACGUAGGCGGAUAGAUAAGUUAGUGGUGAAAUCCCGAAGCUCAACUUCGGGACUGCCAUUAAAACUGUCUAUCUUGAAUUUGGUUGAAGUGGGCGGAAUAUGACAUGUAGCGGUGAAAUGCAUAGAUAUGUCAUGGAACACCGAUAGUGAAGACAGCUCACUAAGCCAAUAUUGACGCUGAGGUACGAAAGCAUGGGUAGCGAACAGGAUUAGAUACCCCAGUAGUCC